ACGCUGGCGGCAGGCCUAACACAUGCAAGUCGAGCGGUAGCACAGGAGAGCUUGCUCUCUGGGUGACGAGCGGCGGACGGGUGAGUAAUGUCUGGGAAACUGCCUGAUGGAGGGGGAUAACCACUGGAAACGGUAGCUAAUACCGCAUGACCUCGCAAGAGCAAAGUGGGGGACCUUCGGGCCUCACGCCAUCGGAUGUGCCCAGAUGGGAUUAGCUAGUAGGUGGGGUAAUGGCUCACCUAGGCGACGAUCCCUAGCUGGUCUGAGAGGAUGACCAGCCACACUGGAACUGAGACACGGUCCAGACUCCUACGGGAGGCAGCAGUGGGGAAUAUUGCACAAUGGGCGCAAGCCUGAUGCAGCCAUGCCGCGUGUGUGAAGAAGGCCUUAGGGUUGUAAAGCACUUUCAGCGAGGAGGAAGGCGUUGUAGUUAAUAGCUGCAACGAUUGACGUUACUCGCAGAAGAAGCACCGGCUAACUCCGUGCCAGCAGCCGCGGUAAUACGGAGGGUGCAAGCGUUAAUCGGAAUUACUGGGCGUAAAGCGCACGCAGGCGGUUUGUUAAGUCAGAUGUGAAAUCCCCGAGCUUAACUUGGGAACUGCAUUUGAAACUGGCAAGCUAGAGUCUUGUAGAGGGGGGUAGAAUUCCAGGUGUAGCGGUGAAAUGCGUAGAGAUCUGGAGGAAUACCGGUGGCGAAGGCGACCACCUGGACUGAUACUGACACUGAGGUGCGAAAGCGUGGGGAGCAAAC
RNAcentral lists this ribosomal RNA (751 nucleotides) under uncultured bacterium. RNAcentral's name for it is "bacterial SSU rRNA". It matches the Rfam family "Bacterial small subunit ribosomal RNA", at positions 33 to 773 of the family's 1533-position model. The record is from RNAcentral.